UACUGCAGGAAAAGGUCCCGCAGAGCUGAGCAGUCAAGAUGUGUGACUUCACCGAAGACCAGACCGCAGAGUUCAAGGAGGCCUUCCAGCUGUUUGACCGAACAGGUGAUGGCAAGAUCCUGUACAGCCAGUGUGGGGAUGUGAUGAGGGCCCUGGGCCAGAACCCUACCAACGCCGAGGUGCUCAAGGUCCUGGGGAACCCCAAGAGUGAUGAGAUGAAUGUGAAGGUGCUGGACUUUGAGCACUUUCUGCCCAUGCUGCAGACAGUGGCCAAGAACAAGGACCAGGGCACCUAUGAGGAUUAUGUCGAAGGACUUCGGGUGUUUGACAAGGAAGGAAAUGGCACCGUCAUGGGUGCUGAAAUCCGGCAUGUUCUUGUCACACUGGGUAAGGUUCUGUGUCCUUGUCCUUGAGCUGAGAUGGCACCCUGAGAUACCUCACUUAUCACCCAAUUCCAAAAAUGCUUUCUUUCCCCCUGCAGGUGAGAAGAUGACAGAGGAAGAAGUAGAGAUGCUAGUGGCAGGGCACGAGGACAGCAAUGGUUGUAUCAACUAUGAAGGUAAGAGGUAAACUGCGCUUUCU
Molecule: small RNA, 582 nt
Filed under: Pongo abelii (Sumatran orangutan)
Lineage: Eukaryota; Metazoa; Chordata; Mammalia; Primates; Hominidae
Description: retained intron
Source: RNAcentral